Molecule: non-coding RNA, 1278 nt
Organism: Cinara cedri
Lineage: Eukaryota; Metazoa; Arthropoda; Insecta; Hemiptera; Aphididae
Source: the annotation of a GenBank genome assembly
GAUGUUGUAGUUAAAACUUGAUUCUUGGUCAAAUAAUUGUAUUAAUAUUUCGAAAUGUUAUGCACAUAACUUACAAAACAAACAGCCGGCCAACUAUAACGCUAAGUUUUGGCUGUGGUCUGUGAUGAUGUUAGGAAAAACAAAAGCAAUCAUGUACGCAAACCACUUUUCAAAAAUAGUAAGAAAACAAAUUAGAGACUGAUAUCGCAUGAUAACUUUCAUUAUUUAGGUAAGUCAUAUUAUUUACCUAUGUUGAUAUUACAUUAUAGAAACACCAUUUUCUUUUAAGUUUUUUAAAUACCAUUGUAAUUUAUUAUAUUUAUUGAUGAUCCAUAUGUAUAUAUUUAGGUACACAUAAAUUGUCUGAUGUUAAAUCUAUUGUAAUAUUUCACCAACAAUUUUCCUUUUCUUUAAAUCUACGAGAAUUUGCAAACUGUCAAAUGAAACAUUAUCUAGAAGUGUCUGGUAUUCAUAAAUCUUUAUUUAAAAUAUUAGGUACCUGUCUUCAAACAUAUUGCUCACUUUUAAGAAUUAGAAGUACUGCUAGUACCUAUUAUAAUACCAGUAAUACCCAAAUUCAAUUAGACAGGUAGGCAGUUUUUAAAAAUUCAAAAUAAAUUGUUUAUUUACUUAAUAUUAUGUUUGGAGUAUAAAAUAUCCAAUACUUAGGGUUACACUCUGUAACUAUCAAUAAUGUCCUGGCUAUUUUACUCUACGGCUAUUUAUUUAUAUUAUAAAAUAUAUUUUUUUUUUUUUGGUAAAUAAAUACAUAGUUAUAUCUGAUAAACGACACUUCAAAUAAUAGAUACCUAAUUGAUUUUUUUUUUAUAACUAAACAUUUAUAAUUUUUUAUGUUUUUCUAAAUGUAUUACUGUAUUCAUACUUAUUAACAAUAAUUGUACUACCUACUAUUACAUAGUUUAACAUAAUAUAAUACAUAUUACCUAUUAUCAUGUUUGUAGAUUAUCACACAUCUGGGUGAACCUAAUUAAUAAAAAUUCAAAGCAACGUCCAUGAAAUACAAUUCCUCAUAGCAAAAGUGUAUAAGGUAAGUAAUUGUUGUAGAUAAUUCUAUGUAUGUAUUAAAAUUAAAUAUACCGUCUAAAAAAUGAUUAAAUGUUUCAGAAUAGUUCUUGUGUAAAUAAGAAAAAUAUUUAUUGUUAUAAGACUGUCAAUUUCCUUGACUUAAGUACAGAUAGUUUUCAUAUCUACAGAAAUCAUUAAUAUUACAGUUCCAGUUAUAUCAAGUAAGAUAUUAAAUUGCGUCGAUAAUGCUAU